Molecule: ribosomal RNA, 492 nt
Filed under: uncultured bacterium
Lineage: Bacteria
Description: partial 16S ribosomal RNA
Rfam family: Bacterial small subunit ribosomal RNA
Source: RNAcentral
GAUGAACGCUAGCUACAGGCUUAACACAUGCAAGUCGAGGGGAAACGACAUCGAAAGCUUGCUUUUGAUGGGCGUCGACCGGCGCACGGGUGAGUAAUGCGUAUCCAACCUGCCCACCACUUGGGGAUAACCUUGCGAAAGUAAGACUAAUACCCAAUGACGUCUCUAGAAGACAUCUGAAAGAGAUUAAAGAUUUAUCGGUGAUGGAUGGGGAUGCGUCUGAUUAGCUUGUUGGCGGGGUAACGGCCCACCAAGGCGACGAUCAGUAGGGGUUCUGAGAGGAAGGUCCCCCACAUUGGAACUGAGACACGGUCCAAACUCCUACGGGAGGCAGCAGUGAGGAAUAUUGGUCAAUGGACGAGAGUCUGAACCAGCCAAGUAGCGUGCAGGAUGACGGCCCUAUGGGUUGUAAACUGCUUUUAUAAGGGAAUAAAGUGAGUCUCGUGAGACUUUUUGCAUGUACCUUAUGAAUAAGGACCGGCUAAUUCCGUG